This 666-nucleotide ribosomal RNA is filed under the name uncultured Geobacillus sp. RNAcentral's name for it is "bacterial SSU rRNA". It matches the Rfam family "Bacterial small subunit ribosomal RNA", at positions 28 to 674 of the family's 1533-position model. The record is from RNAcentral. Lineage: Bacteria; Bacillati; Bacillota; Bacilli; Caryophanales; Anoxybacillaceae.
GACGAUCGCUGGCGGCGUGCCUAAUACAUGCAAGUCGAGCGGGCCGAACGAGAGCUUGCUCUUGUUCGGUCAGCGGCGGACGGGUGAGUAACACGUGGGCAACCUGCCCGCAAGACCGGGAUAACUCCGGGAAACCGGAGCUAAUACCGGAUAACACCAAAGACCGCAUGGUCUUUGGUUGAAAGGCGGCUUCGGCUGCCACUUGCGGAUGGGCCCGCGGCGCAUUAGCUAGUUGGUGAGGUAACGGCUCACCAAGGCGACGAUGCGUAGCCGGCCUGAGAGGGUGACCGGCCACACUGGGACUGAGACACGGCCCAGACUCCUACGGGAGGCAGCAGUAGGGAAUCUUCCGCAAUGGACGAAAGUCUGACGGAGCGACGCCGCGUGAGCGAAGAAGGCCUUCGGGUCGUAAAGCUCUGUUGUGAGGGACGAAGGAGCGCCGUUUGAAUAAGGCGGCGCGGUGACGGUACCUCACGAGAAAGCCCCGGCUAACUACGUGCCAGCAGCCGCGGUAAUACGUAGGGGGCUAGCGUUGUCCGGAAUUAUUGGGCGUAAAGCGCGCGCAGGCGGUCCUUUAAGUCUGAUGUGAAAGCCCACGGCUCAACCGUGGAGGGUCAUUGGAAACCGGGGGACUUGAGUGCAGGAGAGGAGAGCGGAAUUCCACGU